RNAcentral lists this long non-coding RNA (1236 nucleotides) under Callithrix jacchus (white-tufted-ear marmoset). Its description in RNAcentral is "lncRNA (ENSCJAG00000079290.1)". Lineage: Eukaryota; Metazoa; Chordata; Mammalia; Primates; Cebidae. The record is from RNAcentral.
CCCCCAUGAAAGUCUUCUCUCAGUGAGAGGGUAGGAACAUCUCAAUACCUUGCAGGUGGCCAAGAGUAUGUUUCUCUGAUCCAAAUGUUCUAAGAGUCAUGCAUUUCCUUUUAAUUGCCAUUAGCUAUCCCCAAAAGUAUAUUUCCUAUGUAGUUAUUACACACCAAAUCUCUUUCAUAAUGCGAAGUAAUUUCUGAUAUCCCCAAAAAGCAAAAAACAUCAGAUAACACAUGUAAAAUAGAACAGAGCCUUAGAUUUUGAGAGAGAUCUAUCCACUUUCACUUUCUAAGGUUUCAUGAGGAAAACAGAUGUUUUUCCCAAAACAGGGUCUAUGGCACCUCCUCUGUUUUUUUCCAAGGAGUUCCAGGCUGUUAGAACUUGAAUAGCUGCUUUUAAUUAAGCUGACUUUUAACCACAGGGCUCUCUUAUUAAAAUUUUUUUUAAAAAAACACGUUAUUUUAGGUUUCUUGUUACCCAAUUUUAGCCAGACAAAAAGGCAAAUAUUUCUGGCUUUUAAAUUUUACUAAAAGUAACCACCUAGGUGCUCAGAGAAAGGAAAAUUCAAGAUGAUUCGUGGAUGAGAAGCGAAUUAACAAAUGGUGGAGAUCACAACAGAUAUCAACCAGAAAGGACUCAUUCCCUAAGUCAGGAACUGAACUCCGAACCCAGGCCACCACUGUGAAAAGAUAAGAAAGGCAAAAGACAGAAAGGGAGAAAAACAUUCUCAGGGAGGCCAGAGAAAGGCCCACCCAUUGCAGCAACAGUGUAAAGUUCAGGUGGCUGCUCAUAGGGGAUCUUUUCCUGCAGUGUCAUCAGUUCUCAGGUUUCCCCUUUUGGAAAGAAAAAAGCUCCCCAUACCAUAUGUUCCUGUACAUGCCUCAUCCUAUCACCCACAGCCAUCAGCAAAGAGUGCAAGGCAGAUUAAUCCAAAAAAUAUUGGUUAACAUCCCCUAAGUUGGGCCUCUAACCCAAUCCCAUCUUCUACCCAGGUAAAUGCACCCCACUUACCCAAAGUUGGCCAAUUGGGGCAUGCAGACAACUUUCCUUUGGGUCAGGGGUCUCUUGAGUACCGUCCCUUCACGUCACGGGAAAGAAGUUGCUGGAAAGGGAUUCCAAUCCAGACCCCAAGAGAAGGUUCUUGGAUCUGGCACAAGGAAGAAUUCCGGGGUCUUCUGGAUUUUGCAGUUCUCUGCUUCAUUAGGACCAGGAACUUGUCUGAGCCCAGAGAGAGCCUGA